UUGCAUUCCCAAAUUUCAUAACCUAUUCCAGGGAAACAAACAAAAAAUGAAUAAGGAAAUCCAAGAUAUAAGACAACAAUGUUACCUGAAUUGAAGUUACCACACUAUAAGCAUUCUAUGCUAGACUCCAACCAUGGACAUGCAUGCACCAGAAUUCAUGGCCAAAUGAUGCAGGAACUUCAAUCAAGUAGAGGAACAAUAAAUAUCAGGUCCAAAAUUGUAAAAUUUAUUCAACAAUCACUUUGAAUUUUAAACACAAUUCUUUCUCCCACAAAAAUAUACAUGCACUUAACUGAAUGCAGCUAAAAGUCCCAUGAGAAACAAGAAUAUCAUUGUG
This 337-nucleotide unclassified non-coding RNA is filed under the name Hevea brasiliensis (rubber tree). The record is from RNAcentral. Lineage: Eukaryota; Viridiplantae; Streptophyta; Magnoliopsida; Malpighiales; Euphorbiaceae.